UACGAAGGGGGCUAGCGUUGCUCGGAAUCACUGGGCGUAAAGGGUGCGUAGCGGGUCUUUAAGUCAGGGGUGAAAUCCUGGAGCUCAACUCCAGAACUGCCUUUGAUACUGAGGAUCUCGAGUCCGGGAGAGGUGAGUGGAACUGCGAGUGUAGAGGUGAAAUUCGUAGAUAUUCGCAAGAACACCAGUGGCGAAGGCGGCUCACUGGCCCGGUACUGACGCUGAGGUGCGAAAGCGUGGGGAGCAAACAGGG
This 253-nucleotide ribosomal RNA is filed under the name uncultured bacterium. RNAcentral describes it as "partial 16S ribosomal RNA". It matches the Rfam family "Bacterial small subunit ribosomal RNA", at positions 524 to 777 of the family's 1533-position model. The record is from RNAcentral.